GCGAGUGUGGCGGAAUGGCAGACGCACCAGACUUAGGAUCUGGCGUCUCACGACGUGAGGGUUCAAGUCCCUCCACUCGCA
This 81-nucleotide transfer RNA is filed under the name Megasphaera vaginalis (ex Srinivasan et al. 2021). Its description in RNAcentral is "Megasphaera sp. BV3C16-1 tRNA". It matches the Rfam family "tRNA". Rfam says of the family: Transfer RNA (tRNA) molecules are approximately 80 nucleotides in length. Their secondary structure includes four short double-helical elements and three loops (D, anti-codon, and T loops). Lineage: Bacteria; Bacillati; Bacillota; Negativicutes; Veillonellales; Veillonellaceae. The record is from Rfam by way of RNAcentral.